CAUCCUCCAAGGCUAAAUACUCCUGACUGACCGAUAGUGAACCAGUACCGUGAGGGAAAGGCGAAAAGAACCCCGGCGAGGGGAGUGAAAAAGAACCUGAAACCGUGUACGUACAAGCAGUGGGAGCCCCACCACUAAGCCAGUGGUGAACUCCACAUACGCAUCCUUUGCUGAGGAUACGGUUAACGGAGCGAAAGCGACGUUCAACCUCAAAAGAAGCAGAGGGGGCUUAGUGGUGGGGUGACUGCGUACCUUUUGUAUAAUGGGUCAGCGACUUAUAUUCUGUAGCAAGGUUAACCGUAUAGGGGAGCCGGAGGGAAACCGAGUCUUAAUUGGGCGUUAAGUUGCAGGGUAUAGACCCGAAACCCGGUGAUCUAGCCAUGGGCAGGUUGAAGGUUGGGUAACACUAACUGGAGGACCGAACCGACUAAUGUUGAAAAAUUAGCGGAUGACCUGUGGCUGGGGGUGAAAGGCCAAUCAAACCGGGAGAUAGCUGGUUCUCCCCGAAAGCUAUUUAGGUAGCGCCUCGUGAAUUCAUCUCCGGGGGUAGAGCACUGUUUCGGCUAGGGGGCCAUCCCGGCUUACCAACCCGAUGCAAACUGCGAAUACCGGAGAAUGUUAUCACGGGAGACACACGGCGGGUGCUAACGUCCGUCGUGAAGAGGGAAACAACCCAGACCGCCAGCUAAGGUCCCAAAGUCAUGGUUAAGUGGGAAACGAUGUGGGAAGGCCCAGACAGCCAGGAUGUUGGCUUAGAAGCAGCCAUCAUUUAAAGAAAGCGUAAUAGCUCACUGGUCGAGUCGGCCUGCGCGGAAGAUGUAACGGGGCUAAACCAUGCACCGAAGCUGCGGCAGCGACACUGUGUGUUGUUGGGUAGGGGAGCGUUCUGUAAGCCUGUGAAGGUGGCCUGUGAGGGUUGCUGGAGGUAUCAGAAGUGCGAAUGCUGACAUAAGUAACGAUAAAGCGGGUGAAAAGCCCGCUCGCCGGAAGACCAAGGGUUCCUGUCCAACGUUAAUCGGGGCAGGGUGAGUCGACCCCUAAGGCGAGGCCGAAAGGCGUAGUCGAUGGGAAACGGGUUAAUAUUCCCGUACUUGGUGUUACUGCGAAGGGGGGACGGAGAAGGCUAUGUUGGCCGGGCGACGGUUGUCCCGGUUUAAGCGUGUAGGUGUGUGUUCCAGGUAAAUCCGGUUCACUUUAACACUGAGGCGUGACGACGAGGCACUACGGUGCUGAAGCAACAAAUGCCCUGCUUCCAGGAAAAGCCUCUAAGCAUCAGGUAACAUCAAAUCGUACCCCAAACCGACACAGGUGGUCAGGUAGAGAAUACCAAGGCGCUUGA
RNAcentral lists this ribosomal RNA (1339 nucleotides) under Salmonella enterica subsp. enterica serovar Senftenberg. RNAcentral describes it as "partial 23S ribosomal RNA". It matches the Rfam family "Bacterial large subunit ribosomal RNA", at positions 454 to 1693 of the family's 2925-position model. Lineage: Bacteria; Pseudomonadati; Pseudomonadota; Gammaproteobacteria; Enterobacterales; Enterobacteriaceae. The record is from RNAcentral.